UGGGGAAUAUUGCACAAUGGGCGAAAGCCUGAUGCAGCCACGCCGCGUGAGUGAUGAAGGCCUUCGGGUUGUAAAGCUCUGUCUUCUGGGACGAUAAUGACGGUACCAGAGGAGGAAGCCACGGCUAACUACGUGCCAGCAGCCGCGGUAAUACGUAGGGGGCAAGCGUUGUCCGGAUUUACUGGGUGUAAAGGGCGUGGAGGCGGGAUAAAAAGUCAGUGGUGAAAUCCUACAGCUUAACUGUAGAACUGCCUUUGAUACUUUUAGUCUUGAGUUCGGGAGAGNGAGACGGAAUUCCAGGUGUAGUGGUGAAAUACGUAGAUAUCUGGAAGAACACCAGUUGCGAAGGCGGUCUCUUGGUCCGACACUGACGCUGAGGCGCGAAAGCGUGGGGAGCAAAC
RNAcentral lists this ribosomal RNA (401 nucleotides) under uncultured bacterium. RNAcentral's name for it is "bacterial SSU rRNA". It matches the Rfam family "Bacterial small subunit ribosomal RNA", at positions 355 to 773 of the family's 1533-position model. The record is from RNAcentral.